GCAGACGUCCCUUCCCCAGCCAGGCUGCCACCUCGCAGUUCAAUCUCAGACUGCUGUGCUAGCAGUGGGGAAGGCUCCGUGGGCAUGGAAACUGCCGAGCCAGGCACAGUAGAGAAUCACCUUGUCUGCCGGUUGCUAAGACCUUUGGAAAAGUGCAGUAUUUGGGUGAGAGUGUCCUAUUUUUCCAGGUACAGUCUGUCACGUCUUCCCUUGGCUAGGAAAGGGAAAUCCCCCGACCCCUUACACUUUCCGGGUGAGGCAACGCCCCACUCUGCUUCAGCUCACCCUCCAUGGGCUGCACUCACCUUCCAACCAGUCUCAAUGAGAUGAACCAGGUACCUCAGUUGGAAAUGCAGAAAUCACCCGUCUUCUGCGUCAAUCACGCUGAGAACUGCAGACCAGAGCUGUUCCUAUUUGGCCAUCUUGGAACCGGUCUGAGUCUGUUUUAGCCAGAUCAAGUACUUGUGAGAGAACCUUUGUGGGAGCGCAGAAGUCCAGCAGAGAGACCCUAGCACUUUAUUUGGACCAAAAAAUAAAUAAUAAAUAAAUAAAUAAAUAAAUCCAAAACUAGAUGCAUUAAAGAAGGUUUAGACUUCUCCUAUGGAGAAUGCAGCAAGAAAAUACCAUCUUGAAGCAGAGAGCAGCGCUCAUCAGGCAUCAGUCCUUCUGGAGCCUUGAUCUUGGACCUCCCAGCUCCAAAAUAAUAAGUAAUAAAUUGUUAUUGCUUAUAAAUU
This 734-nucleotide long non-coding RNA is filed under the name Homo sapiens (human). RNAcentral describes it as "HSALNT0030115". Lineage: Eukaryota; Metazoa; Chordata; Mammalia; Primates; Hominidae. The record is from RNAcentral.